RNAcentral lists this ribosomal RNA (410 nucleotides) under uncultured microorganism. RNAcentral describes it as "bacterial SSU rRNA". It matches the Rfam family "Bacterial small subunit ribosomal RNA", at positions 509 to 917 of the family's 1533-position model. The record is from RNAcentral.
CAGCAGCCGCGGUAAUACGUAGGGGGCGAGCGUUGUCCGGAAUUAUUGGGCGUAAAGCGCGCGCAGGCGGUCCUUUAAGUCUGAUGUGAAAGCCCACGGCUCAACCGUGGAGGGUCAUUGGAAACUGGGGGACUUGAGUGCAGGAGAGGAGAGCGGAAUUCCACGUGUAGCGGUGAAAUGCGUAGAGAUGUGGAGGAACACCAGUGGCGAAGGCGGCUCUCUGGCCUGUAACUGACGCUGAGGCGCGAAAGCGUGGGGAGCAAACAGGAUUAGAGACCCUGGUAGUCCACGCCGUAAACGAUGAGUGCUAAGUGUUAGAGGGGUCACACCCUUUAGUGCUGCAGCUAACGCGAUAAGCACUCCGCCUGGGGAGUACGGCCGCAAGGCUGAAACUUAAAGGAAUUGGCGGG